This 497-nucleotide ribosomal RNA is filed under the name uncultured bacterium. RNAcentral describes it as "partial 16S ribosomal RNA". It matches the Rfam family "Bacterial small subunit ribosomal RNA", at positions 28 to 507 of the family's 1533-position model. The record is from RNAcentral.
GAUGAACGCUGGCGGCGUGCCUAAUACAUGCAAGUCGAGCGAACAGACGAGGAGCUUGCUCCUCUGACGUUAGCGGCGGACGGGUGAGUAACACGUGGAUAACCUACCUAUAAGACUGGGAUAACUUCGGGAAACCGGAGCUAAUACCGGAUAAUAUAUUGAACCGCAUGGUUCAAUAGUGAAAGACGGUUUUGCUGUCACUUAUAGAUGGAUCCGCGCCGCAUUAGCUAGUUGGUACGGUAACGGCUUACCAAGGCAACGAUGCGUAGCCGACCUGAGAGGGUGAUCAGCCACACUGGAACUGAGACACGGUCCAGACUCCUACGGGAGGCAGCAGUAGGGAAUCUUCCGCAAUGGGCGAAAGCCUGACGGAGCAACGCCGCGUGAGUGAUGAAGGUCUUCGGAUCGUAAAACUCUGUUAUUAGGGAAGAACAAAUGUGUAAGUAACUAUGCACGUCUUGACGGUACCUAAUCAGAAAGCCACGGCUAACUACGUG